Long non-coding RNA from Oryzias melastigma (Indian medaka), 1930 nucleotides. RefSeq lists it as uncharacterized. The record is from RefSeq and is a predicted model, not a curated record. The transcript has 4 exons. NCBI's taxonomy places the organism in Eukaryota, Metazoa, Chordata, Actinopteri, Beloniformes, Adrianichthyidae.
AUCGAACGUUAGCAUUAGCCGUCCUAUGGGAAAUUCCAUUAAACGUUAGCAUCAAGCUAGCAGACUUUAGCUAUAUGCCUUAGAUUAAGCUUCUACUUUUGGAUUGAUUAUUGAGCUAGUAAGCUUAGAUUGGUUCAGACCGAUUGAUCAAUUUUAUCAGCCCAGCUCUACAAACUAUGAGCUGUUUCUACCUAUAGAAGUCCUAAACCCCAUAGUAGUUCCUAGAAACUAAUUUUUUUAUGACAAUUUUUACAUGUCAAGUACUUUAUAUUUUUAUAUAAUUAAAAUGUUGAAAUUAACUAAAAUAAAAUGAAAUAUGGAAUAUUUGCUCUUGUUAAUAAAAUUGAUUUACAAAGGAAAAAAAUCUUUAUCGAUCCCAGCUUUUCUUCUCAAACCUAAAAGAGUUAAUACAGAAUGUCAUUUUUUCUGACAUAGAAUUAUAUUUGUGUUGGCUGGAAAACGUAUUAUAUAAUAAACCGUCCCAUAAAUGAAAAGAUUUUCUAGCUUUUCCACUCUGGAGAACGUCCAGUGGAUCUGAUGAGACAAAGGAGAAGCGUUUGAUCUAAAAAAAGAAGCACAAGGAGGAGAAGAAGAAGAAGCUAAAUGCGAAACAAACAUCUUGAACUGGUCGAGAACCAGAUGGAAGCCUCUUUGGUAUUUUAAGAAGGCAGUCUCAGAAUGAUUUCCGAGGAACUUCCGCAAAGCGAGGCUUGUUUUUCAGGUGCCCUCUGAUGUUUCCCGUCAACACUGACAUGCUGAGUCACAGAGACGUUUAUUUUUGUUUCCAAGGAGACUGAAGAUAACAUUUCCAGAACGAGCCACAUAAGCAUGAUGAUCAGUUCACCGUAUCCCCAGCUCCACUGGGAGCCCCUCUGGGACUCGGGGUAAUGUGCCUCGGACGGACUCCAGCAUUUAAACACUGUAAUAAGAGCCAGAGCAGGAUAUUAGCUAAAUUACACAUGAAAGCAGGGAUAUUUAAAGGAAGCUUGAAAACAAAAUAUGAUGAAUUAUGGUCGAAUACAAGAGGAUACGUAAAGAAUAAUACAGACUUGGACGCAGAAGAAAAAGUUGUUUUUCUAAUACAUGACUGUGCUUUUAAUUCGAAUGGACAGAUGUCCAUUUAAAUGAAUGGACCAAAUCUUAUGGCUGUACAUUAGGGUUUGAAAAAUAGGCAAAAAUAAAAUACAUUUUUUUAGCAGCAUCUACAAUAAAAAAAUGAAUAUUUGUGUUUUACAUGCAUUUUUAUGUAGUUUAACCAUUUUGUGCUGCAUUUCAAUGGAAUGGGGGUAGGGGGGCAUAAAGUUAGAACUGUGGAUGUGACAGGAUCUCUUUAAAUCAGAUUUUUUUUUCUUCUUUAUUCCAUCACUGUGUUGGUGAUGAUAAUUCUGAUAUAAACAAAGGGAGAAAAAAAUACUUUUAUCUGACAAAAUCUCAAUUUUGUUGGUAUUUCCUGCACAUAAAAGCAGCAGCUUGUUUAGCAAUAUAUUUUCCCUCCAUUUUUUUUUCCAAAAAAUGUUGGGAAACUUGGAUUUGGUUUGUAAAGACAAACGUUGCAGAAUUCAUACGUAUUAUUAUCUAGUGUCCUCCUGAGAAAAGAUAUUAGUAGACUUAAUUUUUGCCAAAUUUCAACUGAGUUUAAAACAUUUAAACUUUUUCUUGUUUUUUUUAUGUGAAAGUCCAGGUAACACAUACAAAAUAAAACCAUUAGAACAGGCGUCUUGUAAUUCAAUAUAUUUUAGAUUAGAGGAGAAUUUGCCAAACAUGUUAAAAAGCAUUAAAAGACUGAAAUGUACAGUAUAGCUGAUCUACAGCUUUAAAUACUGGGGGUGUGUAUCGGCAAGAGUCUGGUGAUAUGAUUCAUAUUGCAAUAAAUGACUCAAAAUACGACUGUUCUGGCAUAAUUUUGGCAUAAUUUUUCACUCUUUUUUUC